This 609-nucleotide ribosomal RNA is filed under the name uncultured bacterium. RNAcentral's name for it is "bacterial SSU rRNA". It matches the Rfam family "Bacterial small subunit ribosomal RNA", at positions 338 to 956 of the family's 1533-position model. The record is from RNAcentral.
CCUACGGGAGGCAGCAGUGGGGAAUCUUGCGCAAUGGGCGAAAGCCUGACGCAGCAACGCCGCGUGCGGGAAGAAGGCUUUCGGGCUGUAAACCGCUUUCAGCAGGAACGAAAAUGACGGUACCUGCAGAAGAAGGAGCGGCCAACUAUGUGCCAGCAGCCGCGGUGAUACAUAGGCUUCAAGCGUUGUCCGGAUUUAUUGGGCGUAAAGAGUUCGUAGGCGGUCAAGUAAGUCGGGUGUGAAAAUUCUGGGGCUCAACCCCAGAGACGCCACCCGAUACUGCUUAACUUGAGUUCGAUAGGGGAGUGGGGAAUUCCUAGUGUAGCGGUGAAAUGCGCAGAUAUUAGGAGGAACACCGGUGGCGAAGGCGCCACUCUGGAUCGAUACUGACGCUGAGGAACGAAAGCAUGGGUAGCAAACAGGAUUAGAUACCCUGGUAGUCCAUGCCGUAAACGGUGGGCACUAGGCGUGGGUUUCUAUUAACCGGAAAUCCGGCGCCGUCGCUAACGCAUUAAGUGCCCCGCCUGGGGAGUACGGUCGCGAGACGUAAACGUAAACGUAAGUAGACGGUCGUGUAGACGUUGUCGACGGACGACGACGAGGGAGAGG